UGGGGAAUUUUGGACAAUGGGCGAAAGCCUGAUCCAGCAAUGCCGCGUGUGUGAAGAAGGCCUUCGGGUUGUAAAGCACUUUGUCCGGAAAGAAAUCCUUGGCUCUAAUACAGUCGGGGGGAUGACGGGUACCGGAAGAAUAAGCACCGGCUAACUACGUGCCAGCAGCCGCGGUAAUACGUAGGGUGCAAGCGUUAAUCGGAAUUACUGGGCGUAAAGCGUGCGCAGGCGGUUUGCUAAGACCGAUGUGAAAUCCCCGGGCUCAACCUGGGAACUGCAUUGGUGACUGGCAGGCUAGAGUAUGGCAGAGGGGGGUAGAAUUCCACGUGUGAGCAGUGAAAGUGCGUAGAGAUGUGGAGGAAUACCGAUGGC
RNAcentral lists this ribosomal RNA (372 nucleotides) under uncultured bacterium. Its description in RNAcentral is "partial 16S ribosomal RNA". It matches the Rfam family "Bacterial small subunit ribosomal RNA", at positions 355 to 716 of the family's 1533-position model. The record is from RNAcentral.